This 72-nucleotide transfer RNA is filed under the name Streptomyces sp. PVA_94-07. The record is from RNAcentral. Lineage: Bacteria; Bacillati; Actinomycetota; Actinomycetes; Kitasatosporales; Streptomycetaceae.
CCAAGCUGACCGUCAACCCGGCCCGCGCGCACGGUCUCUCCCACGAGGUCGGCUCGCUGGAGCCCGGCAAGC